RNAcentral lists this ribosomal RNA (545 nucleotides) under Phomopsis sp. XL-D25. Its description in RNAcentral is "eukaryotic LSU rRNA". The stretch from base 213 to 366 matches the Rfam family "5.8S ribosomal RNA". Lineage: Eukaryota; Fungi; Ascomycota; Sordariomycetes; Diaporthales; Diaporthaceae. The record is from RNAcentral.
AACAAGGUCUCCGUUGGUGAACCAGCGGAGGGAUCAUUGCUGGAACGCGCCCCAGGCGCACCCAGAAACCCUUUGUGAACUUAUACCUUACUGUUGCCUCGGCGCAUGCCGGCCCCCUCGGGGGCCCCUCUCCGGAGGAGCAGGCACGCCGGCGGCCAACCUAACUCUUGUUUUUACACUGAAACUCUGAGAAUAAAACAUAAAUGAAUCAAAACUUUCAACAACGGAUCUCUUGGUUCUGGCAUCGAUGAAGAACGCAGCGAAAUGCGAUAAGUAAUGUGAAUUGCAGAAUUCAGUGAAUCAUCGAAUCUUUGAACGCACAUUGCGCCCUCUGGUAUUCCGGAGGGCAUGCCUGUUCGAGCGUCAUUUCAACCCUCAAGCCUGGCUUGGUGAUGGGGCACUGCCUGUAAAAGGGCAGGCCCUGAAAUUCAGUGGCGAGCUCGCCAGGACCCCGAGCGCAGUAGUUAAACCCUCGCUUUGGAAGGCCCUGGCGGUGCCCUGCCGUUAAACCCCCCAUGGGGCGCGUUCCAGCAAUGAUCCCUCCG